CCUACGGGAGGCAGCAGUAGGGAAUAUUGCUCAAUGGGGGAAACCCUGAAGCAGCAACGCCGCGUGGAGGAUGAAGGUUUUCGGAUUGUAAACUCCUUUUGGUAGAGAAGAGAAGGACGGUAGCUAACGAAUAAGCACCGGCUAACGCCGUGCCAGCAGCCGCGGUAAUACGGAGGGUGCAAGCGUUACUCGGAAUCACUGGGCGUCAAGAGCGCGUAGGCGGGAUAGCAAGUCAGAUGUGAAAUCCUAUGGCUUAACCAUAGAACUGCAUUUGAAACGGUUAUUCUAGAGUAUGGGAGAGGUAGGUGGAAUUCUUGGUGUAGCGGUCACAUCCGUCGAGAUCACGCGGAAUACUCAUUGCGAAGGCGACCUGCUAGACCAUAACUGCCGCUGAUGCGCGACAGCGUGGGGAGCAAACAGGCUUAGAUACCCUUGUAGUC
Molecule: ribosomal RNA, 440 nt
Filed under: uncultured bacterium
Lineage: Bacteria
Description: partial 16S ribosomal RNA
Rfam family: Bacterial small subunit ribosomal RNA
Source: RNAcentral